Molecule: ribosomal RNA, 253 nt
Filed under: uncultured bacterium
Lineage: Bacteria
Description: partial 16S ribosomal RNA
Rfam family: Bacterial small subunit ribosomal RNA
Source: RNAcentral
UACGGGGGGGGUAAGCGUUGUUCGGAAUUACUGGGCGUAAAGGGCUCGUAGGCGGCCAACUAAGUCAGACGUGAAAUCCCUCAGCUUAACUGGGGAACUGCGUCUGAUACUGGAUGGCUUGGAUCCGGGAGAGGGAUGCGGAAUCCCAGGUGUAGCGGUGAAAUGCGUAGAUAUCUGGAGGAACACCGGUGGCGAAGGCGGCAUCCUGGACCGGUAUUGACGCUGAGGCGCGAAAGCCAGGGGAGCAAACGGG